CUAUAUCCAAAAAAUCUAUUUCUCCCUAAAUCAAAAUCCACACGGUUGGCACUCUGUCGUCGUCUCAUCAUCUCCGGCUGCACUUCAAUUGAAGGUGUCGCCACCACCCCGGUAGCAAUUCCAUUGCCAUUGAAUAGUUCACAUUCUCUUAUCGUGCUUCAACAAAAGGUUUUUCCUCUAUUUCAGUUGCACUUCAAGCUAUGGUUUCACCGCCUCUCGCUUCACCUUCUCCGGCCGUUUGCUAAAUUAACACUACGAUUCUCUCUAUCUCCUAUCAAUUUUAACUUGUUUGGUUUGCACGGGUACAUAUGAAAAUACCCUCCAUCUCACUGCUUUGUGAAGAGAAUUGCUUCAAAUGUCAUUUACAUACUGACUGAAAUUUUUGAGUAACAAAAAUUCUUAUUGUAGAAUUUUACCCUUUCGGACCUGGACUUUGGAGAAGAAAAUGAGAUUGAAGUGAAGAGCAAAGAAAAAAAAAUUAAAAUUAGAUGAUCUUCAGUCAUCUUCGAAAAAGCAUUUUUUGAUGUUUUUAUACUGCAUAAUUCUUUUGAUAAUUCUCCAUGUUGGACAAAUGUUCGUGUAAGUAAUUUAUAAAGUUUCGAAGAAAUUUAUUUUUUCUUCUAUCUGUGAGAUAAAAUAUUGUGUGACUACUAUUAUUAAAUGGUAUUGUUUUUCUGUCCAUUGGAAGAUUUAUAUUUGAUUGAAAAUUUCUCCAAAUUCGAUAAAUUUAUUUUUAAUUUCUUUCCAUAUUAAGGACAUGCCGAUGAAGGUCCUCUAUGUUGUGCUUAACUGUAUGUUCAUAAUCCACCGCUUGCCCAACAAAUUUAAACAAUAAAAAUACUCUUCUGCCAUUUGAAGUAAUUGAGCUUAUCUGUUUCUUGAUUUCUUGUAAUGUGGUUUAAUUGCUUUAUGUGAUGUCUAGUUACUCUAAAAAGAGUUUCAAGUUCCAGUGGAUCAUCUAUGCAUGUUUUGUAUCUACUUAUUUAUUUGAAUCAACCAUGAUCCAUGGUUUAUUCCCCUCGUAGAUUAGGCCUAAGGAAUUAUGUAAUUUGUCAUUGUAGAGCUAAAGGCCACUCUUUCGUCAAAUGCCCACGAAACGUCGAUGCCCAUUAUGCAAGCAUAGAUUCGAGAAGUAUUUCAUGGUGGAAAAAGACACAGUCAACAAAGGUCAAUUAUUUCUUUGUUACAGUGACAAUUGUGGAUUUUGGGUCUGGGUUGUAAUAAAAGAAUCAAGCGGUCAAUCCUCUAGUGAUAGCACUUCCUUAGUUAACCCGACGGCGAACAAAUGAGUUGAAGAUAUGGAACACAUGUUCCAAUCUCGAGUAAUGAUGAAGAAGAACUAGAAAUUUCGAUGACCAUAACGAUCUACAAGGCAAAAGGUAGGACAGAAGAGAACGUAAAAGGAAAGGGGUCGACAUGAUUAGUAGAAAUUAAUUGAACGGUUAAUCACAUGGAAAUUCUCACUGUUUCCAAAUCUUCCCAUGAAGGGGAUUUAGACAACUAAAUCUUUUGUUUUGUGUUAUUGUGUAAGAUUGUUUCUG
This 1541-nucleotide long non-coding RNA is filed under the name Olea europaea subsp. europaea. Lineage: Eukaryota; Viridiplantae; Streptophyta; Magnoliopsida; Lamiales; Oleaceae. The record is from RNAcentral.